AGAAAAGCACUGCAUAUACAUUGGAAGGAAAUAAAAUUGAUAUUCACAACAUUGAAGGAAGAACAGGCAAAAUGAUAAAUUUAGUACGAGAAAAUCUAACUCCAUAUUUAAGCUCAGCUGAAAUCAAUUUCAGUUGUCUUAUGAACCACAUCUCAUUCUUGUUAAUACAGACAAUCCAGGCUCAAAUAAAACAAGAGAGAUGAAAUACGUAGAUAAGCAGCCACCCAAAUUUUUGUAGGAUCUUAUGCACAUGAUCCAUAGAUACUUGAAGUCAACUGCUCUGUACAGCUU
RNAcentral lists this unclassified non-coding RNA (291 nucleotides) under Hevea brasiliensis (rubber tree). Lineage: Eukaryota; Viridiplantae; Streptophyta; Magnoliopsida; Malpighiales; Euphorbiaceae. The record is from RNAcentral.